GUCCUAUUUCUUCCACUGCCUCAUCUGCAGAUCUUGUUUUGUGUCAACAUUGUAUAGGUGAGGAAUUGGAGAGACUCACCCCUUCUUGGUGGUAAGAUUUCCUGUCCUGCCCCUGACUUAAUAGCCCCACCAGUUGGAGCUUGAGGGUUUAACAUGUGCCAAGUUCCUGCGGUGGGAGGCAGUUAGUUUAGAGGGCAAGCUGUUUGUGCUAUUUAAUAAGAUUGGAGAGGCUGGUGGGAGCGACUCUUCAGCAGCUGAAAGCCAAAGAAAAGAAUUGGUAUAUCCCAAGAGCAAUGAGAAAUCAAAUAAACAACUUCAGGUUCUCACAACCGUCACUCCUGUCCGACGCCUCGUUCCUGUACAACAUGGAGCCCAUGGGCCUUGAGGGUCCCUGAGCGCUCUGCCAGUGGCCUCUGCUGGGUUCCCUAGCGCUGCUGCUACAGCCGGUAACCUGUGCCCAAGCCACACCGGGCACCCUCAGCACCACGACCAC
RNAcentral lists this long non-coding RNA (493 nucleotides) under Heterocephalus glaber (naked mole-rat). Its description in RNAcentral is "lncRNA (ENSHGLG00000041193.1)". The record is from RNAcentral. Lineage: Eukaryota; Metazoa; Chordata; Mammalia; Rodentia; Bathyergidae.